ACGGAAGGCAGCAGUGAGGAAUAUUGGUCAAUGGGCGGAAGCCUGAACCAGCCAAGUCGCGUGAAGGAUGAAGGUAUUAUGUAUUGUAAACUUCUUUAGACGUAGAGAAAUAAGGCGCUCGUGAGCGCUGAUGCUAGUAUACGUAGAAUAAGGAUCGGCUAACUCCGUGCCAGCAGCCGCGGUAACACGGAGGAUCCGAGCGUUAUCCGGAUUUAUUGGGUUUUAAGGGUGCGCAGGCGGAGAUGCAAGCCAGCCGUAAAAUCGUGGGGCUCAAUCCCAUUCAGCGGUUGGAACUUCAUCCCUUGAUUGCGGCAGAGGGAGGUGGAACUCGUGGUGUAGCGGUGAAAUGCAUAGAUAUCACGAAGAACUCCGAUUGCGAAGGCAGCCUCCUGGACCGUAAAUGACGCUCAUGCACGAAGGCGCGGGUAUCAAACAGGAUUAGAUACCCUGGUA
This 453-nucleotide ribosomal RNA is filed under the name uncultured Bacteroides sp. Its description in RNAcentral is "partial 16S ribosomal RNA". It matches the Rfam family "Bacterial small subunit ribosomal RNA", at positions 341 to 792 of the family's 1533-position model. The record is from RNAcentral. Lineage: Bacteria; Pseudomonadati; Bacteroidota; Bacteroidia; Bacteroidales; Bacteroidaceae.